This 606-nucleotide ribosomal RNA is filed under the name Salmonella enterica. RNAcentral describes it as "partial 23S ribosomal RNA". It matches the Rfam family "Bacterial large subunit ribosomal RNA", at positions 329 to 937 of the family's 2925-position model. The record is from RNAcentral. Lineage: Bacteria; Pseudomonadati; Pseudomonadota; Gammaproteobacteria; Enterobacterales; Enterobacteriaceae.
UUAGUGGAAGCGUCUGGAAAGGCGCGCGAUACAGGGUGACAGCCCCGUACACAAAAGCGCAUGUGCUGUGAGCUCGAUGAGUAGGGCGGGACACGUGGUAUCCUGUCUGAAUAUGGGGGGACCAUCCUCCAAGGCUAAAUACUCCUGACUGACCGAUAGUGAACCAGUACCGUGAGGGAAAGGCGAAAAGAACCCCGGCGAGGGGAGUGAAAAAGAACCUGAAACCGUGUACGUACAAGCAGUGGGAGCACAGGUUUACCUGUGUGACUGCGUACCUUUUGUAUAAUGGGUCAGCGACUUAUAUUCUGUAGCAAGGUUAACCGAAUAGGGGAGCCGGAGGGAAACCGAGUCUUAAUUGGGCGUUAAGUUGCAGGGUAUAGACCCGAAACCCGGUGAUCUAGCCAUGGGCAGGUUGAAGGUUGGGUAACACUAACUGGAGGACCGAACCGACUAAUGUUGAAAAAUUAGCGGAUGACCUGUGGCUGGGGGUGAAAGGCCAAUCAAACCGGGAGAUAGCUGGUUCUCCCCGAAAGCUAUUUAGGUAGCGCCUCGUGAAUUCAUCUCCGGGGGUAGAGCACUGUUUCGGCUAGGGGGCCAUCCCGGCUU